RNAcentral lists this ribosomal RNA (372 nucleotides) under Rickettsia sp. UP1372. RNAcentral's name for it is "bacterial SSU rRNA". It matches the Rfam family "Bacterial small subunit ribosomal RNA", at positions 758 to 1128 of the family's 1533-position model. The record is from RNAcentral. Lineage: Bacteria; Pseudomonadati; Pseudomonadota; Alphaproteobacteria; Rickettsiales; Rickettsiaceae.
AGCGUGGGGAGCAACAGGAUUAGAUACCCUGGUAGUCCACGCCGUAAACGAUGAGUGCUAGAUAUCGGAAGAUUCUCUUUCGGUUUCGCAGCUAACGCAUUAAGCACUCCGCCUGGGGAGUACGGUCGCAAGAUUAAAACUCAAAGGAAUUGACGGGGGCUCGCACAAGCGGUGGAGCAUGCGGUUUAAUUCGAUGUUACGCGAAAAACCUUACCAACCCUUGACAUGGUGGUCGCGGAUCGCAGAGAUGCUUUUCUUCAGCUCGGCUGGACCACACACAGGUGUUGCAUGGCUGUCGUCAGCUCGUGUCGUGAGAUGUUGGGUUAAGUCCCGCAACGAGCGCAACCCUCAUUCUUAUUUGCCAGCGGGCGG